RNAcentral lists this ribosomal RNA (426 nucleotides) under uncultured bacterium. RNAcentral describes it as "bacterial SSU rRNA". It matches the Rfam family "Bacterial small subunit ribosomal RNA", at positions 917 to 1344 of the family's 1533-position model. The record is from RNAcentral.
GGGCCCGCACAAGCGGUGGAGCAUGUGGUUUAAUUCGAUGCAACGCGAAGAACCUUACCUGGUCUUGACAUACACAGAAUCUUGUAGAGAUAUGAGAGUGCCUUCGGGAAUUGUGAUACAGGUGCUGCAUGGCUGUCGUCAGCUCGUGUCGUGAGAUGUUGGGUUAAGUCCCGCAACGAGCGCAACCCACGUUUUUAGUUGCCAGCAUUUGGUUGGGCACUCUAGAAAGACCGCCGGUGAUAAACCGGAGGAAGGUGUGGAUGACGUCAAGUCAUCAUGCCCCUUAACCCUGGGCUACACACGUACUACAAUGCUACGGACAAAGGGCAGCAAACUCGCGAGAGCUAGCAAAAUCCCAUAAACCGUGGCUCAGUUCAGAUCGUAGGCUGCAACUCGCCUACGUGAAGGCGGAAUCGCUAGUAAUCG